UUUUGGCGCCAAAUCGCGAAGUGAAACGAGGCUAGUUUUUAAAAGCCAACCGCAAAAUGUACCCUUCGAAGGCUCAAUAUUUGAAAUAUGUUGAAGAACAGUGGAAAAUUAGCGGGUAAAACAUUGUUCAUCACCGGCGCAAGCCGUGGAAUUGGGAAGGCCAUUGCAUUAAAAGCUGCCCAAGAUGGAGCAAAUAUUGUUAUCGCCGCUAAAACCACCGAACCUCAUCCAAAACUGCCUGGAACGAUAUACACCGCAGCAAAAGAAGUUGAGGAGGCAGGAGGAAAGUGCCUUCCCUGUGCAGUGGAUAUUCGUGAUGAAAAUGCUGUCAACAGCGCUGUACAAGAGGCUGUAAAGACAUUUGGUGGGAUUGACAUACUUGUUAACAAUGCUAGUGCAAUAAGCCUGACAGGGACCUUGGAUACGCCAGUGAAAAAAUAUGAUCUAAUGAAUAAUAUCAAUGUAAGAGGGACAUUUUUGUGCUCCAAAGCAAUUAUUCCUUAUUUAAAGAAAGCAGAGAAUCCUCACAUUUUAAAUGUGACACCACCUUUAAAUAUCAGACAUGCCUGGUUCAAAGAACACAUUGCAUAUUCAUUGUCAAAAUAUGGAAUGUCAUUGUGUGUCCUUGGAAUGUCUCAAGAAUUCAAGGAUGAUGGGAUUGCAGUUAAUGCACUGUGGCCUAACAAAGGUAUUGCCACUGUUGCUGUCAUGGUUACUGCAGGGAAACAAGGCUUAGUGUACUGUCGAAUAGAUAAGUUUUUUGCUGAUGCUGCAUAUUUCAUGUUGACAAGGGACAGUAAAACUAGGACAGGGGAGUUUCUCUAUGAUGAGGAUGUUCUCAAGGAGGCAGGAAUCACUGACUUUGAACAGUAUUCCUAUAUUCCAGCUGGUGCGCCUGUGCCAGACAGUUUCAUUGAUGGUUAUUCUCCCACACUGCAAGGAAAUGGCUCUAAGGACACCCGGAAAGCUGCCUCUCGUGGGAUUCAAUUGAGACAGGUGGCAGAUAUUUUUGAUGCCAUUACAAAUUUUGUUGAUGAAAAGCUCAUUCAGAAGGUGAAUGCAGUCUUUGAGUUUCAUUUAACAGGAAAGGAACCUGGAGUGUGGUAUCUUGAUCUUAAAAGCAGUACAGGUGAGGUCGGCAAAGGUUCUUUUUCAGGAGAUGAGGUGAACAGUACAAUAAUGUUAGACUCCGAGGACUUUGUUAAAUUGUUCACUGGUGAACUUAAUCCAGCACAAGCAUAUUUGGGAGGAAAACUCCAGAUUACAGGAAGUAUGCAUAAAUUUAUGAGACUGGAGAAUCAGCUCCUUCACAAGAUGAAAUCCAAAUUAUGAACAUUACUGUUUUUGAGAAAAUUUAGUCCUGUACAAAGCAAAAAUAAUAACAAUUAUAGUAAUAAUAAUAAUAAUAGUUAUUGUUAUCAUCUUUGUUGCUUUUAUUAUUUGUUGUUUAAGUAUUGGUAUCAUCAUUACUGUUAAACUGUGUUAAACUUUAUAGAAUUUAGGCCUUUUCUAAAGAUGAAGCUGAAGGUAUUUAAACAUUUUCAUGAUGAGCAAUCCAUGGCUAAUGGGUUUAGUGUAGGACAGGGGAAAGUAAGUAAGGAAGGCUGUGUCACAAGACCAAACACCAGAGUUUCUGGUAGAAAUUAUUAUGUAAAGUUUCACAUAAGAUACUAGGUGUUUUUGUUGCUUUUAUUUCCCAACUGAAUAACCCUGGUACAAAUAUUUCAUAUAAGGUUACCAAAACUGUAUAUUUAAAAUUGUGAACAAAGUUAUACAUUUCAGUUAAGUAGGUCAAAAGAUACUGAGUAACUUUUUCAACAGUAAAAUGAGACAUGUUUGUAAAUAUGUCAUAACUAAGACAGUUGCAAUGCUGUUGUUCAAUUUACUCUACAUUUCACUCUUCCAUCUUUUAGAACAAAGUGUAAAUAUUCAGAAUUUUCUCUACCAGACUGUCAGUAUAUUAAAAAGAGCCUGGGUUUGCUUAUUUCUUUGUAAUUUUGUUUCAUGUUAUUCUCUUCAAUGCUUGAUCAAAUAAACAGACACAAAUUGUGUAGGUAUUGUUUUGACAUUUAAUUGGAAAGCAUUUGUAAUGACCCGUGUUUGAAUUGAGAUCCCAAGCAAUAAGUGGCCAAGUAAAGAUCUUUUCCCUUUCCAUAGAAGGAUUUCGAGUAUUAAUUAAUUCUCCCAUACAGACCGAC
RNAcentral lists this unclassified non-coding RNA (2198 nucleotides) under Stylophora pistillata. RNAcentral's name for it is "hydroxysteroid dehydrogenase-like protein 2, transcript variant X3". The record is from RNAcentral. Lineage: Eukaryota; Metazoa; Cnidaria; Anthozoa; Scleractinia; Pocilloporidae.